AGUGAACGCUGGCGGUAGGCCUAACACAUGCAAGUCGAACGGCAGCACAGUAAGAGCUUGCUCUUACGGGUGGCGAGUGGCGGGCGGGUGAGGAAUACAUCGGAAUCUACUUUUUCGUGGGGGAUAACGUAGGGAAACUUACGCUAAUACCGCAUACGACCUACGGGUGAAAGCAGGGGAUCUUCGGACCUUGCGCGAUUGAAUGAGCCGAUGUCGGAUUAGCUAGUUGGCGGGGUAAAGGCCCACCAAGGCGACGAUCCGUAGCUGGUCUGAGAGGAUGAUCAGCCACACUGGAACUGAGACACGGUCCAGACUCCUACGGGAGGCAGCAGUGGGGAAUAUUGGACAAUGGGCGCAAGCCUGAUCCAGCCAUACCGCGUGGGUGAAGAAGGCCUUCGGGUUGUAAAGCCCUCUUGUUGGGAAAGAAAAGCAGCAGGUUAAUACCCCGCUGUUCUGACGGUACCCAAAGAAUAAGCACCGGCUAACUUCGUG
This 492-nucleotide ribosomal RNA is filed under the name uncultured bacterium. Its description in RNAcentral is "partial 16S ribosomal RNA". It matches the Rfam family "Bacterial small subunit ribosomal RNA", at positions 29 to 507 of the family's 1533-position model. The record is from RNAcentral.